ACAGAGCUUCUUCAUGAUUUCAUAACUGAAAUUUUACUAUGAAAAUUCCCUCAUUUUUUUUGGUCUACUACUUAUAAUUUUAACCAUAAUUCAAUGAUGACGUGAUAUUAUCCAAGAAAGUACAUUCCAAGGUUUUCAUACAUCCAAAGUAUAUAAUGGAUUUCGAUGAAGAAGACAAGAGGAUAUGU
Octopus sinensis (East Asian common octopus) is the source of this 188-nucleotide long non-coding RNA. RefSeq lists it as uncharacterized. The transcript is spliced from 5 exons. The record is from RefSeq and is a predicted model, not a curated record. Lineage: Eukaryota; Metazoa; Mollusca; Cephalopoda; Octopoda; Octopodidae.